AUGGCAACGACGGCCAGCGUGCCAGCCUGCCUCCGCAAAGGGACGAACUCCAUCAUCAUCCUCACCUCUUGGGCACUUUGGAAGCAUCGCAACGCAGCUCUCUUCGACAAUGCUGCACCCUCCUACAACAAACUUGUCGAGGACAUAAAACAGGAGGCGAAACUCUGGGCAAGAGCCGGCGCCAAAGGGCUCGAUAGGAUCAUUUCUGUAACAUAA
This 216-nucleotide ribosomal RNA is filed under the name Triticum aestivum (bread wheat). RNAcentral describes it as "partial small subunit ribosomal RNA". Lineage: Eukaryota; Viridiplantae; Streptophyta; Magnoliopsida; Poales; Poaceae. The record is from RNAcentral.